This 637-nucleotide ribosomal RNA is filed under the name uncultured bacterium. Its description in RNAcentral is "bacterial SSU rRNA". It matches the Rfam family "Bacterial small subunit ribosomal RNA", at positions 607 to 1244 of the family's 1533-position model. The record is from RNAcentral.
GCUCAACCGAGGAAGUGCUUCGAAAACUGGUAAACUUGAGUGCAGAAGAGGAAAGUGGAACUCCAUGUGUAGCGGUGGAAUGCGUAGAUAUAUGGAAGAACACCAGUGGCGAAGGCGGCUUUCUGGUCUGUAACUGACGCUGAGAUUCGAAAGCAUGGGUAGCAAACAGGAUUAGAUACCCUGGUAGUCCAUGCCGUAAACGAUGAGUGCUAAGUGUUGGAGGGUUUCCGCCCUUCAGUGCUGCAGCUAACGCAUUAAGCACUCCGCCUGGGGAGUACGAUCGCAAGAUUGAAACUCAAAGGAAUUGACGGGGGCCCGCACAAGCGGUGGAGCAUGUGGUUUAAUUCGAAGCAACGCGAAGAACCUUACCAGGUCUUGACAUACCAUGAAAAGCUAAGAGAUUAGUCUUUCCCUUCGGGGACAUGGAUACAGGUGGUGCAUGGUUGUCGUCAGCUCGUGUCGUGAGAUGUUGGGUUAAGUCCCGCAACGAGCGCAACCCUUCUUAUCAGUUGCCAGCAUUCAGUUGGGCACUCUGGUGAGACUGCCGGUGACAAACCGGAGGAAGGUGGGGACGACGUCAAAUCAUCAUGCCCCUUAUGACCUGGGCUACACACGUGCUACAAUGGUCGGUACAACG